GAUGAACGCUGGCGGCGUGCUUAACACAUGCAAGUCGAACGGAAAGGCCCAAGCUUGCUUGGGUACUCGAGUGGCGAACGGGUGGGUAACACGUGGGUGAUCUGCCCUGCACUUCGGGAUAAGCCUGGGAAACUGGGUCUAAUACCGGAUAGGACGAUGGUUUGGAUGCCAUUGUGGAAAGUUUUUUCGGUGUGGGAUGAGCUCGCGGCCUAUCAGCUUGUUGGUGGGGUAAUGGCCUACCAAGGCGUCGACGGGUAGCCGGCCUGAGAGGGUGUACGGCCGCAUUGGGACUGAGAGACGGCCCAGACUCCUACGGGGGGCAGCAGUGGGGAAUAUUGCACAAUGGGCGCAAGCCUGAUGCAGCGACGCCGCGUGGGGGAUGACGGCCUUCGGGUUGUAAACUCCUUUCGCUAGGGACGAAGCGUUUUUGUGACGGUACCUGGAGAAGAAGCACCGGCUAACUACGUG
RNAcentral lists this ribosomal RNA (468 nucleotides) under uncultured bacterium. Its description in RNAcentral is "partial 16S ribosomal RNA". It matches the Rfam family "Bacterial small subunit ribosomal RNA", at positions 28 to 507 of the family's 1533-position model. The record is from RNAcentral.